GUGUGGGCCCCGCUUUCCCCCAGCGCUGGAGACUCCGAGCCCGGCCGGUCCCACAUUCCACGCGAGCUGAAUUCCCGCCCGCAUCCCGCCCGGGCAGCAGGGAUUGCCGGCUCCGGGAGGCGCUCGGGCUCCGAGAAGCGGCUCAGCCCCGCGCCCCUCCCUCCUCAGUACCGCUGCCGGCGGACCAGGAUUCCCGCGGGUCCUGGCGGCUGCGAGCGCGAGGCGGCGCGGAUUCGCGGCUCGGUUCCGGCGCGACUGCUCACCGCGCCCGCCUCGCCUCCCGCGGCUGCCAGCGUGCACUGGGCGCUCCUCGGCGCGUCUGCCCGGCCCGUCUCGGCUUUCCUUCUCCUUCCUCUAGUCCCAGCGUCACAACUCCGCCGACCUCCUCUGCCCUGAGAGCGCGUCCGGUGCGGGCGGAGUCGGACGGACUCUGGCUUCACGCCUCGCGCGGGCACACCUUCUCCCGGGCACUGAGGCCCAGUUAUUAGGGGAGGCAGAGUCCUUCUGGAGUUUGACCCUUGGAUUCCAUCCAGAGCAGCCUCCAAAAUGACACCUUUGAAGUUGUGUAUCGAGCUGGGGGAUGUAAAGGGAGGAGAAGAAAGAAGAUGAAGAGAUACCAGCCAGCCUUAAGGAGUGGACAUCCUGCCUGGUGAAACUGAACAAGACACCUACCGCAUAUGGAGUUUCGCUCUGUCGCCCAGGCUGGAGUGCAGUGGUGCCAUCUCGGCUCACCGCAACCUCCACCUCCAGGUUCAAGUGAUUCUCCUGCCUCAGCCUCUCAAGUAGCUGGGAUUACAGGAGCCCUCUCCCACCGCUCCUACACUGCUGGUAAAAGGCAGCCGCACUGCCUGCUGGAAGACCUGC
Molecule: long non-coding RNA, 864 nt
Filed under: Homo sapiens (human)
Lineage: Eukaryota; Metazoa; Chordata; Mammalia; Primates; Hominidae
Description: HSALNT0291480
Source: RNAcentral